RNAcentral lists this ribosomal RNA (528 nucleotides) under Stachybotrys sp. OY4307. RNAcentral describes it as "eukaryotic LSU rRNA". The stretch from base 161 to 314 matches the Rfam family "5.8S ribosomal RNA". The record is from RNAcentral. Lineage: Eukaryota; Fungi; Ascomycota; Sordariomycetes; Hypocreales; Stachybotryaceae.
GUGAACAUACCUCAAGUUGCUUCGGCGGGAACGCCCCGGCGCGCCCUCCGACCCCGUCCGCGGGGCCGGGGAGCCUAGCCCGGAACCAGGCGCCCGCCGGAGGUACGCAAACUCUUGUCUUCAGUAUAUUUCUCUGAGUGGCAAACGCAAAAUAAAUCAAAACUUUCAACAACGGAUCUCUUGGCUCUGGCAUCGAUGAAGAACGCAGCGAAAUGCGAUAAGUAAUGUGAAUUGCAGAAUUCAGUGAAUCAUCGAAUCUUUGAACGCACAUUGCGCCCGCCAGCACUCUGGCGGGCAUGCCUGUCCGAGCGUCAUUUCAACCCUCAGGCCCCCCGGGGACUGGUGUUGGGGAUCGGCCCGCCCUGGCGCGGCGCCGUCCCCGAAAUACAGUGGCGGUCUCGCUGCAGCCUCCCCUGCGUAGUAGCACACCUCGCAUUGGAGAGCGGCGCGGCCACGCCGUGAAACCCCAACUUCUGAUAGUUGACCUCGGAUCAGGUAGGAAUACCCGCUGAACUUAAGCAUAUCAAU